CAUGCCUGGGAGCCACUGGCCAGGGCCUGGCCAAACUGGGGAGUCCAACUCGGGAGGCCCAGGUGGGGCCUGGGAUCCAGCUCCCGGGUGGUGCUGCCGGCUGGGGACCACACUGAGAAGCCACACCUGGGACACCACCCAGUUCCCCUUUGCCUGGUCCAAAGGAGGAAUUUGGAGGACUCUGAGAAGGGCUUAUCUAACAGAGGAUCCUGAGUGGGAACUUCUGGGGCCUCUUGAGGGAAGAUGGUCAUGGCGGGUGGGGUCAUCGUGGGUUUCACAUCCUCAUCCAUCUUGGAGAAAGAUGCAUAUCUUAAUGGAGGUUGAGACUCUUUACAAAAGAAGCGCAAAUAACUGGAGUCGGCUUCCCCUGACCCAGGGUUAGAGCUCAGUCUCCCCUUCUCUUGCUCCCUGCAACCUUAAAAAAUGGGUGGUGGCAACCACUUUCUUCCUGUGAGGACAGGUGACUGAGAGUCAUCGCCCCCCAUCUUCCUGGUAACCUGUUGCCCCUGUCUCAUGAGUAAACAUCACGUCAACCCCAACAGAAGGGCCUCCUGCAAAAUCCCUGACCAAGGGACAUCACUAAGUACCAUGUGGGGUGGUUGUGGUCUGGAUCUGGCUUGGUUCCCCAGGGGAACUGUAGGAGGUAGAACCAGGCUAGAGGUCGUGGGCCUUGGGAGAAUGCCUUGGGGGACUGUAUCUUGUCCCUGCCCCUCUCUGCUUGCUGGCUGCCAUGAGCUAAGCAGCUCUGCUCUACCUGCUCUGCCAGGAUGAUCUGCCUCACCACGAACCCGCAGCCAUGAGCCAGUGGACUGUGGACAAAAACCUCAAACUGUGAGCCCAAACAUUUUUCCUCUAAGCUUUUUUUCUCAGGUGUUUUGUCAUAGCAAUGAAAAGCUGACACAGGAGUCCUGGAAGAGACCUUACAGAAAGGACAGAACACAGGUGUAAAAAGUGGCGCGUCCAACUGAAGACUGCCGUUAAUGGGAACGUACCGUGGUUGGUCAUGGUUUUGGUGACAGUUCCGUGAAAGAUGUUAACGUUAGGGGUGAGGGCUAUUGAGGACUCUGAAUUGUCUGUAAAUCUAAAAUAAUUCCCAAAUAAAAAGGAUACUAAGUAA
RNAcentral lists this long non-coding RNA (1117 nucleotides) under Marmota monax (woodchuck). The record is from RNAcentral. Lineage: Eukaryota; Metazoa; Chordata; Mammalia; Rodentia; Sciuridae.